This 74-nucleotide transfer RNA is filed under the name Candidatus Kuenenbacteria bacterium CG10_big_fil_rev_8_21_14_0_10_36_11. Its description in RNAcentral is "tRNA-Pro". It matches the Rfam family "tRNA". Rfam says of the family: Transfer RNA (tRNA) molecules are approximately 80 nucleotides in length. Their secondary structure includes four short double-helical elements and three loops (D, anti-codon, and T loops). Lineage: Bacteria; Candidatus Kueneniibacteriota. The record is from RNAcentral. RNAcentral also lists the same sequence under 1 other name.
CGGGGAUUAGCGCAGCUGGCUAGCGCGCCUGCUUUGGGAGCAGGAGGCCGCGAGUUCGAAUCUCGCAUCCCCGA